GUAAACCCAGAGAUUGAUCUACUCCUUCAGACUAACUCCACAUGUAUAUAUACAGCCAGCUUUGUUUGCAAGCGUCUAUCGCUAGCUGAUCGAAGCAGCUUCACUUCACAUGUUACCCAGCGGGAGCUUCGCUGUUCUCUCUUUCUUCCUCCUCCUCCCUGAUGCUGCCCCUCCUCUUUCUACACAACCGUUUCACCAUUUUCUAGGCAUCUUCAGCUUGUGGCAAUGUAUGAUCAUCUGAGGACUUGCAUGUGGGGAGGAGGUUGUGUUUUGUUGUGUAGCCAAGGAUGACUUGCCGGCCACUGUCUCUCGCCGUGAAACGUUAACCGUGAGACACCGACCGGCAGGUUUUUCUCGCUGGCUACAUGAUAGCCUCGUUUUCUCAUGCAGGAUCUCAGAUGGUGUGAUCCGGCCAGUUCAUGCAUUAUUGUUUGUUAAUUCUUCAGUAAAGUUGAUGGUACAUCGGUAUGUGUGUGCUUUCCCGUUUCUGAAUCGCGAAUCACUUGUGUUCUUGACGAUGCGCUUGCUCCUUUGAAUUUCUUCAAGCUUCUGUGACAGGUAGCCAGGCUAUGUGACUGGCAGGUUCUUCGAUUUGGCUACAUGAGAAUUGAGAUGGCCUCGUUUUCUCGUGCAGGACCCUCAGAUGGUGUGAUCCGGCUAGUUCUCUACUCUGUUCUUCAGUUUGGUUAUGCUUCUGUGACAACAGGUAGCCAGAUUUAUCGUACAUGCAUCUUGGAGGGAGCUGCAGAUUUAUCCUACUGGAUUCAGAUGAUUGACGUGGAGUAGUUUCUGUUCUCUGAAACGCGUACGGACCCUCCUUUGUCUUCUUCUUGUUCUUUGCGUUGUGCGAGAUUGCAACUGCAAGGCGCCCACCGCCCAAGAUGAGAAAGAAUAAUAGCUAAUAGCCGAAUGAAGAUCCUGAGCAGCUUGGGACGUGGUGGUAAACUAGUAAUUAGGAUCCCUGAAUCAACAUGCAUUCUGAAGACUUUGCAUACCUAUUUCGUUAGUUUCAUGUUCAUGACUAGAGACUAGAGAGUACAGAUGAUAUUUUUUCUGUUAGUAAGAAAAUAUAUCGAUAUUU
This is a long non-coding RNA of Setaria italica (foxtail millet), 1081 nucleotides long. RefSeq lists it as uncharacterized. The transcript is spliced from 2 exons. Lineage: Eukaryota; Viridiplantae; Streptophyta; Magnoliopsida; Poales; Poaceae. The record is from RefSeq and is a predicted model, not a curated record.